CCCCUGGUGGUCCAGCGGUUAGGACUCUGCACUUCCACGGCAAGGAGUGGGGUGCGAUCCCUGAUCAGGGGA
This 72-nucleotide transfer RNA is filed under the name Bos taurus (domestic cattle). It matches the Rfam family "tRNA". Rfam says of the family: Transfer RNA (tRNA) molecules are approximately 80 nucleotides in length. Their secondary structure includes four short double-helical elements and three loops (D, anti-codon, and T loops). Further hydrogen bonds mediate the characteristic L-shaped molecular structure. tRNAs have two regions of fundamental functional importance: the anti-codon, which is responsible for specific mRNA codon recognition, and the 3' end, to which the tRNAs corresponding amino acid is attached (by aminoacyl-tRNA synthetases). tRNAs cope with the degeneracy of the genetic code in two manners: having more than one tRNA (with a specific anti-codon) for a particular amino acid; and 'wobble' base-pairing, i.e. permitting non-standard base-pairing at the 3rd anti-codon position. Lineage: Eukaryota; Metazoa; Chordata; Mammalia; Artiodactyla; Bovidae. The record is from Rfam by way of RNAcentral.